CCACUGUAAUCACAAACCCAAAAGACUCCUCGUCCCCAAUCUCCCUCAAUCUCACAUUUCUCUCACCAGAACCCUCCUUCAAUUGCGUCUCUCCCAAACUCUCGUCUUUCUCACAACACCGCUCAAACAUCGCCUCUCAGACCUCUCUCUCGCGUACCCUUCGCUUACCCAUCACUCAACAACGUUAAGCAACAACAGCGUAAAUCCACGGUUUUACAGAGACCUCAAGCAGAAAUCUCACCUUCGAUGAGACGGCGAAUCAGUAAAAUUCUUAGAAGACUCAGUUGGUUUGGUUGAGGUUCAAUGGCUGUAGCAGGGCGAUCAUGGGAGUAGGGAGUGCUAAAGGAAUGCUCACAACUGGUCAUUGCAGGUGGUGUUUGGGCUGAAACCUGUGGUCUGCAAAUAUUGAUGGAACUUUGAAGAGCUGAGGCAUCAACAUAUGCAUAUACUAUUCCGGCCAACUCUAUAGUCAUACCUCCACCAACUUCAGGAGGCGUUGGUGCUUGGCUCUCUGGUCCAAAGUUUUAUUUGGACAAGCUCCUAUUUCUCUCCACUGAUUAUGGCUAACUUUCUCUGAUUCAAUCUUCUCCAAUGUGAUUCAAUCUUCUCCGUCACGGGGUGGUGAUGUAAAGGCAAUAGGAUUGUGUAUUUGAGAGGUUGAAUAUAAAAGGAUUCAGAACAGACUUAAUCUUCUGUCAUGGCCAUGUGUAGGUGUGUUUCUGUUUUGAUUGGAAGGAAGAA
Molecule: long non-coding RNA, 741 nt
Organism: Lathyrus oleraceus (garden pea)
Lineage: Eukaryota; Viridiplantae; Streptophyta; Magnoliopsida; Fabales; Fabaceae
Exons: 4
Source: RefSeq, a predicted model, not a curated record